This is a non-coding RNA of Tricholoma furcatifolium, 91 nucleotides long. The record is from the annotation of a GenBank genome assembly. Lineage: Eukaryota; Fungi; Basidiomycota; Agaricomycetes; Agaricales; Tricholomataceae.
GGGGAUUUAGCUCAGGGGUAGAGCGCUUGCUUCGCAUUCAUUCUUCUUGAGACCUUGCAUGAGGCCGUGGGUUCAAUUCCCACAAUCUCCA